CAGUAGCCGCGGUAAUACGUAGGGUGCAAGCGUUAAUCGGAAUUACUGGGCGUAAAGCGUGCGCAGGCGGUUGUGUAAGACAGGUGUGAAAUCCCCGGGCUUAACCUGGGAACUGCGCUUGUGACUGCACAGCUAGAGUAUGGCAGAGGGGGGUGGAAUUCCACGUGUAGCAGUGAAAUGCGUAGAGAUGUGGAGGAACACCGAUGGCGAAGGCAGCCCCCUGGGCCAAUACUGACGCUCAUGCACGAAAGCGUGGGGAGCAAACAGGAUUAGAUACCCCGGUAGUCCCUGUCUCUUAUAC
RNAcentral lists this ribosomal RNA (301 nucleotides) under uncultured bacterium. RNAcentral describes it as "partial 16S ribosomal RNA". It matches the Rfam family "Bacterial small subunit ribosomal RNA", at positions 509 to 807 of the family's 1533-position model. The record is from RNAcentral.